UGGGGAAUAUUGCACAAUGGGCGCAAGCCUGAUGCAGCCAUGCCGCGUGUGUGAAGAAGGCCUUCGGGUUGUAAAGCACUUUCAGCGGGGAGGAAGGCGUUAAGGUUAAUAACCUUGGCGAUUGACGUUACCCGCAGAAGAAGCACCGGCUAACUCCGUGCCAGCAGCCGCAGUAAUACGGAGGGUGCAAGCAUUAAUCGGAAUUACUGGGCGUAAAGCGCACGCAGGCGGUUUGUUAAGUCAGAUGUGAAAUCCCCGGGCUCAACCUGGGAACUGCAUCUGAUACUGGCAAGCUUGAGUCUCGUAGAGGGGGGUAGAAUUCCAGGUGUAGCGGUGAAAUGCGUAGAGAUCUGGAGGAAUACCGGUGGCGAAGGCGGCCCCCUGGACGAAGACUGACGCUCAGGUGCGAAAGCGUGGGGAGCAAACAGG
RNAcentral lists this ribosomal RNA (429 nucleotides) under Chloroflexota bacterium. RNAcentral describes it as "Chloroflexi bacterium partial 16S ribosomal RNA". It matches the Rfam family "Bacterial small subunit ribosomal RNA", at positions 355 to 776 of the family's 1533-position model. The record is from RNAcentral. Lineage: Bacteria; Bacillati; Chloroflexota.